This 402-nucleotide ribosomal RNA is filed under the name Fusobacteriota bacterium. Its description in RNAcentral is "Fusobacteria bacterium partial 16S ribosomal RNA". It matches the Rfam family "Bacterial small subunit ribosomal RNA", at positions 355 to 776 of the family's 1533-position model. Lineage: Bacteria; Fusobacteriati; Fusobacteriota. The record is from RNAcentral.
UGGGGAAUAUUGCACAAUGGAGGGAACUCUGAUGCAGCGACGCCGCGUGAACGAAGAAGGCUUUCGAGUCGUAAAGUUCUUUUAUAUGGGAAGAUAAUGACGGUACCAUAAGAAAAAGCCCCGGCUAACUACGUGCCAGCAGCCGCGGUAAUACGUAGGGGGCUAGCGUUGUCCGGAAUCACUGGGCGUAAAGGGUUCGCAGGCGGAAAUGCAAGUCAGGUGUAAAAGGCAGUAGCUUAACUACUGUAAGCAUUUGAAACUGCAUAUCUUGAGAAGAGUAGAGGUAAGUGGAAUUUUUAGUGUAGCGGUGAAAUGCGUAGAUAUUAAAAAGAAUACCGGUGGCGAAGGCGACUUACUGGGCUCAUUCUGACGCUGAGGAACGAAAGCGUGGGUGCAAACAGG